GUAGUCAUACGCUCGUCUCAAAGAUUAAGCCAUGCAUGUGUAAGUGUAAAUUGUUAAGUUUGGAACUGCGAAUGGCUCAUUAUAUCAGUUAUAGUUUAUUUGGUGAAGUGUACUACUUGGAUAACCGUAGUAAUUCUAGGGCUAAUACAUGAGAAAGUCCUCUGGUGAGGUGUGUUUAUUAGAAUGAAAACCAUAUGCUUCGGCAUGAUAGUGAGUAAUAGUAACCUAUCGUAUCGCAUGCUUAAUGUAGCGAUGAGUCUUUCAAGUUUCUGCCCUAUCAGCUUUCGAUGGUAGUAUAUGGGCCUACCAUGGCAGUAACGGGUAACGAAG
RNAcentral lists this ribosomal RNA (330 nucleotides) under Blastocystis sp. RNAcentral describes it as "SSU rRNA". It matches the Rfam family "Eukaryotic small subunit ribosomal RNA", at positions 20 to 367 of the family's 1831-position model. The record is from RNAcentral. Lineage: Eukaryota; Bigyra; Opalinata; Blastocystidae.